CAGCUGUUUUGAUACAUGCUCGACUUUCUUUUUCUCUUGUGCAAUGGGGUUUAUGAGUUAAUUAGCCAAAACGGGACCUUAAAAAGGUGUAAGUAACCGUACUAAGUUCGUAAGAACGGAAUGUCUAGAGACUACACGGCUGAGCGAUUUAGCUCUCAUAAAUGGAUAGUCCUCAGUAUACCAUCUGAGCAUCCCAUACAAAAUGGUUA
This 209-nucleotide self-splicing intron is filed under the name Heterolobosea sp. BA. RNAcentral describes it as "GIR1 branching ribozyme". It matches the Rfam family "GIR1 branching ribozyme". Rfam says of the family: GIR1 branching ribozyme also namend lariat-capping (LC) ribozyme is a natural ribozyme with similarity to group I introns, the LC ribozyme catalyzes cleavage by a 2',5' branching reaction, leaving the 3' product with a 3-nt lariat cap that functionally substitutes for a conventional mRNA cap in the downstream pre-mRNA encoding a homing endonuclease. Lineage: Eukaryota; Heterolobosea. The record is from Rfam by way of RNAcentral.